This is a non-coding RNA of Pneumocystis murina, 72 nucleotides long. NCBI's taxonomy places the organism in Eukaryota, Fungi, Ascomycota, Pneumocystomycetes, Pneumocystales, Pneumocystaceae. The record is from Rfam.
UGGAAAUUAGCUCACUGGUAGAGCAAUCGUUUUACACGCGAUAUGGAGAAGGUUCGAUUCCUUUAUUUCCUA